This 465-nucleotide ribosomal RNA is filed under the name uncultured bacterium. RNAcentral describes it as "partial 16S ribosomal RNA". It matches the Rfam family "Bacterial small subunit ribosomal RNA", at positions 338 to 795 of the family's 1533-position model. The record is from RNAcentral.
CCUACGGGAGGCUGCAGUAGGGAAUCUUCCACAAUGGGCGAAAGCCUGAUGGAGCAACGCCGCGUGGGUGAAGAAGGUCUUCGGAUCGUAAAACCCUGUUGUUAGAGAAGAAAGUGCGUGAGAGUAACUGUUCACGUUUCGACGGUAUCUAACCAGAAAGCCACGGCUAACUACGUGCCAGCAGCCGCGGUAAUACGUAGGUGGCAAGCGUUAUCCGGAUUUAUUGGGCGUAAAGGGAACGCAGGCGGUCUUUUAAGUCUGAUGUGAAAGCCUUCGGCUUAACCGGAGUAGUGCAUUGGAAACUGGGAGACUGGAGUGCAGAAGAGGAGAGUGGAACUCCAUGUGUAGCGGUGAAAUGCGUAGAUAUAGGGAAGAACACCAGUGGCGAAAGCGGCUCUCUGGUCUGUAACUGACGCUGAGGUUCGAAAGCGUGGGUAGCAAACAGGAUUAGAUACCCCAGUAGUC